GAUGAAGAACGUAGCGAAAUGCGAUAAGUAGUGUGAAUUGCAGAAUUCAGUGAAUCAUCGAAUCUUUGAACGCACAUUGCGCCCCUUGGUAUUCCAUGGGGCAUGCCUGUUCGAGCGUCAUUUGUACCUUCAAGCUUUGCUUGGUGUUGGGUGUUUGUCUCGCCUUUGCGUGUAGACUCGCCUUAAAAUAAUCGGCAGCCGGCGUAUUGAUUUCGGAGCGCAGUACAUCUCGCGCUUUGCACUCAUAACGACAGCGUCCAAAAGUACAUUUUACACUCUUGACCUCGGAUCAGGUAGGGAUACCCGCUGAACUUAAGCAUAUCAAUAAGCGGAGGA
RNAcentral lists this unclassified non-coding RNA (336 nucleotides) under soil metagenome. RNAcentral's name for it is "partial contains 5.8S ribosomal RNA, internal transcribed spacer 2, and large subunit ribosomal RNA". The stretch from base 1 to 120 matches the Rfam family "5.8S ribosomal RNA", at positions 35 to 154 of the family's 154-position model. The record is from RNAcentral.